RNAcentral lists this ribosomal RNA (257 nucleotides) under uncultured prokaryote. RNAcentral's name for it is "partial 16S ribosomal RNA". It matches the Rfam family "Bacterial small subunit ribosomal RNA", at positions 524 to 780 of the family's 1533-position model. The record is from RNAcentral.
UACGGAGGAUCCGAGCGUUAUCCGGAAUCAUUGGGUUUAAAGGGUCCGUAGGCGGAUAGUUAAGUCAGCGGUGAAAGUCUGCAGCUCAACUGUAGAAUUGCCGUUGAUACUGGUUAUCUUGAAUCAAAUUGAAGUGGCUGGAAUAUGUGGUGUAGCGGUGAAAUGCUUAGAGAUUACACAGAACACCGAUUGCGAAGGCAGCUCACAAAUCUACUUCUGACGUUGAGGCACGAAAGCGUGGGUAGCAAACAGGAUUA